GCACUGUUGAGGAGUCCCACAAUAGGACAAAACAGCCGUCCAGUGC
Molecule: non-coding RNA, 46 nt
Filed under: Schistosoma mansoni
Lineage: Eukaryota; Metazoa; Platyhelminthes; Trematoda; Strigeidida; Schistosomatidae
Source: RNAcentral